CCUACGGGAGGCAGCAGUGGGGAAUAUUGGGCAAUGGGCGCAAGCCUGACCCAGCAACGCCGCGUGAAGGAAGAAGGCUCUAGGGUUGUAAACUUCUUUUAUCAGGGACGAAGCAAGAGACGGUACCUGAUGAAUAAGCCACGGCUAACUACGUGCCAGCAGCCGCGGUAAUACGGAGGUGGCAAGCGUUAUCCGGAUUUACUGGGUGUAAAGGGCGUGUAGGCGGGAAGGUAAGUCAGAUGUGAAAACCAUGGGCUCAACCUGUGGCCUGCAUUUGAAACUGUUUUUCUUGAGUACUGGAGAGGCAGACGGAAUUCCUAGUGUAGCGGUGAAAUGCGUAGAUAUAUGGAAGAACACCGGUGGCGAAAGCGGCUCUCUGGUCUGUAACUGACGCUGAGGUUCGAAAGUGUGGGUAGCAAACAGGAUUAGAUACCCCAGUAGUC
RNAcentral lists this ribosomal RNA (443 nucleotides) under uncultured bacterium. RNAcentral's name for it is "partial 16S ribosomal RNA". It matches the Rfam family "Bacterial small subunit ribosomal RNA", at positions 338 to 795 of the family's 1533-position model. The record is from RNAcentral.